GUCCUUUCCAUCCUUUGUAAUCCCCCACAUUCGAGUACCCUGUAGGAGUUCGUAAUUCGCAGCAAAUGCACCAGCAGACCGGUAGGGAUGCUGUCUCCCCAUAGUGCCUGGGUGCAUAGAACUAAGUCCUAUGCAAUUUGUGUGUAUGUUAUGCUUGUAUGAUCUGUGCAGUAUAUAGGAAGUACAUUUGAAUCUAGAGCUAACUCUUAGUCUUCUUCCCUAGCUUAGUUAUCUUGAGAUGAUUCUUCUCUGUGUGUCACACUACCCUUCUAUCAUUAUCCUUACCCCUGUCUUGUGUAGAGCAUCUACUCAUCUUAUGAUAUACUUAUAUGCAUAGUAAACUCUUUUGAUCUACCCGCCUUCCUUUGGGAAAUACGAUACCCUUGGGAAUACACUUGGGUGAAAUGCUACAAUGGUAUAUCCGUGCGCUUGCGGAUUCAUU
RNAcentral lists this long non-coding RNA (442 nucleotides) under Setaria viridis. Its description in RNAcentral is "long non-coding RNA (SVIR_LNC003387)". The record is from RNAcentral. Lineage: Eukaryota; Viridiplantae; Streptophyta; Magnoliopsida; Poales; Poaceae.